AUGCAAAGCAUGAAAGGAAAAACUGAGAACCUUCUAGAUCCUUCCAGAUUCUCAUGGCCAACUUUUUACCCCAUGGUUAAAGGAACUCCUUUCAAAGGAGACAUCAUGAAAGCUGAAAGAGGACUUUCCCGCCGUGGAGGGAGGUGGAAGGACUUGGCCACUGGGCCCCUGCCCUGCCCGGCCCUACCUUGUUUAAACACACGUGGUGCUCACAGCUCCAUCUUACACUACCGAAGCCGCACUGUUUUGAAAAGCUGAUGUUGUGGAAUCCUUAAGUCAUCUGUGACCUAGGUCACUAAAGACAGGAGCGAUUUAGUCAAAGUAUUAAUUGAAACUCUCCUGACAAGCUCUACUUCUUCAGAUAAAGUUACACAUCAAACCCACACAGGCGGCCCGGCUAUUCUGAGCAGGCUGAGCUUUUCAAUAUCUCAUAAACAGGCCCCUCAAUCACUACAAUCUAAUAAGGCUAUAAUCAUCAUUGACACUAUAAUGAUUAAAAUGAAUAAAACCCAUUAAGAAAAGUCA
RNAcentral lists this long non-coding RNA (525 nucleotides) under Oryctolagus cuniculus (rabbit). RNAcentral's name for it is "lncRNA (ENSOCUG00000031916.1)". The record is from RNAcentral. Lineage: Eukaryota; Metazoa; Chordata; Mammalia; Lagomorpha; Leporidae.